Molecule: ribosomal RNA, 397 nt
Filed under: uncultured bacterium
Lineage: Bacteria
Description: partial 16S ribosomal RNA
Rfam family: Bacterial small subunit ribosomal RNA
Source: RNAcentral
AUACGUAGGUGGCAAGCGUUGUCCGGAAUUAUUGGGCGUAAAGCGCGCGCAGGUGGUUCCUUAAGUCUGAUGUGAAAGCCCCCGGCUCAACCGGGGAGGGUCAUUGGAAACUGGGGAACUUGAGUGCAGAAGAGGAUAGUGGAAUUCCAAGUGUAGCGGUGAAAUGCGUAGAGAUUUGGAGGAACACCAGUGGCGAAGGCGACUGUCGGGUCUGUAACUGACACUGAGGCGCGAAAGCGUGGGGAGCAAACAGGAUUAGAUACCCUGGUAGUCCACGCCGUAAACGAUGAGUGCUAAGUGUUGGGGGGUUUCCGCCCCUCAGUGCUGCAGCUAACGCAUUAAGCACUCCGCCUGGGGAGUACGGUCGCAAGACUGAAACUCAAAUGAAUUGGCGGGG